Molecule: long non-coding RNA, 702 nt
Filed under: Hordeum vulgare
Lineage: Eukaryota; Viridiplantae; Streptophyta; Magnoliopsida; Poales; Poaceae
Description: long non-coding RNA (HVUL_LNC015161)
Source: RNAcentral
CGGCAUGUACACCCAUCAGACCAUCACACGUACGGGUUACCUGCUCCACCGCUAGCUAGAUUGCCCUUAUCUAUUCGUCUCCCACCGAUAUGCAUCUGGAUCCGUCUUCAUUAUUCCUCCGGCCCUUUUCUCGCAGUUAACCUAGUGGGUCGAGCUAACCCCCCGCCUGCAAUCUGCAGCAAGGACCCCGUCGGUGAGCCAUCUCACCCCUGCGCUGCACAGGCUGCGCGUCUCUCUUGUCUCCCCGCACGCAGCCGGAUCUCCCGCACCACCGGCCAUGGCUGAGGAUCUGUAGAGGAGCUGGCUUCGGCCGCACCCGAGCACCGACGGGCACUCUCUUUUAGUCCCUCAUUUCCGUGUAUUCAUAUUGGCUCUCUCAUAAUGAGAAUGAGCUAGUAGCUGCAACUAUUUUUCCCUAAGCAUCCCCAUGCUAUGUUUUUUGGAUUUCAACCGCCUCUGUUUUAUCUUUGGUUGUAUCCUUCCGGGGCCAUAUCUCAUCCUUUUUGGUUGGCUUGUUGAUUCUCGCAACAAUGAACACAUAUAAGUUGCUAAGAUUUAAUAUAAAGAGGCGGGGUGGGAUUAUUUUUGGGCUCGGGCGGGGCAGACGCCCGCAACGACGCGUCACCCCUUCCUUGGCUCCUGCAGUGUGGAUGCCGGUGGCAUGCGGCGACGCGUGUCCUGGGUGAUAAAAUAUGUCUCCGG